GACGAACGCUGGCGGCGUGCUUAACACAUGCAAGUCGAACGCUGAAGCUUGGUGCUUGCACUGGGUGGGUGAGUGGCGAACGGGUGAGUAAUACGUGAGUAACCUGCCCUUGACUCUGGGAUAAGCCUGGGAAACUGGGUCUAAUACUGGAUAUGACAUGCCACUGCAUGGUGGUGUGUGGAAAGGGUUUUACUGGUUUUGGAUGGGCUCACGGCCUAUCAGCUUGUUGGUGGGGUAAUGGCCUACCAAGGCGACGACGGGUAGCCGGCCUGAGAGGGUGACCGGCCACACUGGGACUGAGACACGGCCCAGACUCCUACGGGAGGCAGCAGUGGGGAAUAUUGCACAAUGGGCGGAAGCCUGAUGCAGCGACGCCGCGUGAGGGAUGACGGCCUUCGGGUUGUAAACCUCUUUCAGCACGGAAGAAGCGAGAGUGACGGUACGUGAAGAAGAAGCGCCGGCUAACUACGUG
Molecule: ribosomal RNA, 472 nt
Filed under: uncultured bacterium
Lineage: Bacteria
Description: partial 16S ribosomal RNA
Rfam family: Bacterial small subunit ribosomal RNA
Source: RNAcentral